GGGCCCGCACAAGCGGUGGAGCAUGUGGUUUAAUUCGAAGCAACGCGAAGAACCUUACCAGGUCUUGACAUACUCGUGCUAUUCCUAGAGAUAGGAAGUUCCUUCGGGACACGGGAUACAGGUGGUGCAUGGUUGUCGUCAGCUCGUGUCGUGAGAUGUUGGGUUAAGUCCCGCAACGAGCGCAACCCUUAUUGUUAGUUGCCAUCAUUACUAGGUUGGCACUACUAGCAAGACGUGCCGUACGACGAAACCGGAGGGAAGGUGGG
Molecule: ribosomal RNA, 266 nt
Filed under: uncultured prokaryote
Description: partial 16S ribosomal RNA
Rfam family: Bacterial small subunit ribosomal RNA
Source: RNAcentral